GCGAACGGGUGAGUAACACGUGGGCAAUCUGCCCUUCACUCUGGGACAAGCCCUGGAAACGGGGUCUAAUACCGGAUACUGACCCUCGCAGGCAUCUGCGAGGUUCGAAAGCUCCGGCGGUGAAGGAUGAGCCCGCGGCCUAUCAGCUUGUUGGUGAGGUAAUGGCUCACCAAGGCGACGACGGGUAGCCGGCCUGAGAGGGCGACCGGCCACACUGGGACUGAGACACGGCCCAGACUCCUACGGGAGGCAGCAGUGGGGAAUAUUGCACAAUGGGCGAAAGCCUGAUGCAGCGACGCCGCGUGAGGGAUGACGGCCUUCGGGUUGUAAACCUCUUUCAGCAGGGAAGAAGCGAAAGUGACGGUACCUGCAGAAGAAGCGCCGGCUAACUACGUGCCAGCAGCCGCGGUAAUACGUAGGGCGCAAGCGUUGUCCGGAAUUAUUGGGCGUAAAGAGCUCGUAGGCGGCUUGUCACGUCGGUUGUGAAAGCCCGGGGCUUAACCCCGGGUCUGCAGUCGAUACGGGCAGGCUAGAGUUCGGUAGGGGAGAUCGGAAUUCCUGGUGUAGCGGUGAAAUGCGCAGAUAUCAGGAGGAACACCGGUGGCGAAGGCGGAUCUCUGGGCCGAUACUGACGCUGAGGAGCGAAAGCGUGGGGAGCGAACAGGAUUAGAUACCCUGGUAGUCCA
Molecule: ribosomal RNA, 686 nt
Filed under: Streptomyces sp. 816_2
Lineage: Bacteria; Bacillati; Actinomycetota; Actinomycetes; Kitasatosporales; Streptomycetaceae
Also listed under: 5 other names
Description: bacterial SSU rRNA
Rfam family: Bacterial small subunit ribosomal RNA
Source: RNAcentral